This is a long non-coding RNA of Coffea arabica (coffee), 605 nucleotides long. RefSeq lists it as uncharacterized. The record is from RefSeq and is a predicted model, not a curated record. Lineage: Eukaryota; Viridiplantae; Streptophyta; Magnoliopsida; Gentianales; Rubiaceae.
AAAGCUGGCUUCUUUCUCUGUCUUCUUAAGUGAAUCGCCAUCUGCUCUAACAUUCUCUGCCGCCGCCGCUGCCUCCUCCUUGUCCCUGCACCUCUGCCAUAGCCCCUCCAAGCCUUUCCUCCCUCUUUUCCUCCCUCUGCCCAACAUCAAGUGGGUGAAAUUUACAAAUUGAGUUAUAUUUUGGUCUCCUUUCUGUCGUUUCCUAUCUAUCUUGAAUUAUGCCUCCCGCUUUUACCUUUGCUGCCGCUUCCAUUGCCGUCACCACCAUCGCCGUCGCAUCCUCUCGUCCUCACUCUCCUUCCGCUCCCUCAAUUCUCAAUUCUCGACAAAUUUAGGGUUUAUGAUGGUCUCUCAGUUUGCGACUUAAAGGUGCAAAACAUGUUGUAUAUGGCUUGAUGUUUGUUUGGUGUCGAUAGACAACUAGACCCUUAAAUAUAGCAGCAAGUUGUGAGAAUCUAUGAUCUUCAGCAUUCUUUGCAAAAGGUCGAAGAAGCUCUCUUGUAGGGACUGGAGCAACUUCACUUGUACAACCAUGAACCAUGUUUUUGUUCAAAACUGUUCUUGAAGUUUUGGGUCAAACGUGUCUGCAUGAAAAAGGCAUGUUA